AAAUUGAAGAGUUUGAUCAUGGCUCAGAUUGAACGCUGGCGGCAGGCCUAACACAUGCAAGUCGAACGGUAACAGGAAGCAGCUUGCUGCUUUGCUGACGAGUGGCGGACGGGUGAGUAAUGUCUGGGAAACUGCCUGAUGGAGGGGGAUAACUACUGGAAACGGUGGCUAAUACCGCAUAACGUCGCAAGACCAAAGAGGGGGACCUUCGGGCCUCUUGCCACCAGAUGUGCCCAGAUGGGAUUAGCUUGUUGGUGAGGUAACGGCUCACCAAGGCGACGAUCCCUAGCUGGUCUGAGAGGAUGACCAGCCACACUGGAACUGAGACACGGUCCAGACUCCUACGGGAGGCAGCAGUGGGGAAUAUUGCACAAUGGGCGCAAGCCUGAUGCAGCCAUGCCGCGUGUAUGAAGAAGGCCUUCGGGUUGUAAAGUACUUUCAGCGGGGAGGAAGGUGUUGUGGUUAAUAACC
Molecule: ribosomal RNA, 471 nt
Filed under: Salmonella enterica
Lineage: Bacteria; Pseudomonadati; Pseudomonadota; Gammaproteobacteria; Enterobacterales; Enterobacteriaceae
Also listed under: 1 other name
Description: bacterial SSU rRNA
Rfam family: Bacterial small subunit ribosomal RNA
Source: RNAcentral